GUUCUGUGUAUUUAUGUGCUAAGCAGUAGUCGACCGUGCAAACCAUAGCAGGAACUUCCUUUUGGAAGGUCUUUCAUCUCUGAAAGCAGCUUACUGUAGCCAUCACGGUUAAUUUUAUUAUUGGCACUCAGGCCUAAACCUCGUGAAACUGCAGCUGCAGAGCACCUUUGCACGUAAUGACUAUCCUGGGAAUUCACAGUUCUGGGUGAAAAGAAAGAUAUUUGAAGCUAUGCAAGAGUUCUGAAAAUAGAUCACCAAGCACCACCUGUAUGUACAGUACUAGAGAAAAGACUGUACAAGACAAAUGAAUCAAGACAUGGACCUCUGAUAGCAGAAGAUGAAGUGGAAAGGAAACGGUGAUAAUUCUCCUACGAUAAUACUCCUAAACAGAUUGUGAUACAUAGAUGCAGUUGAGGUUGGAUAGUAAGGCAUGGAAUUACUAAGCUAAAGAGCAGGCUCACUGAAAAUGUACAUAAAUUCACAUGAUGGGCCUAUCUCAUUUUAGGACUAAUGAGC
Molecule: long non-coding RNA, 516 nt
Organism: Camelus dromedarius (Arabian camel)
Lineage: Eukaryota; Metazoa; Chordata; Mammalia; Artiodactyla; Camelidae
Exons: 4
Source: RefSeq, a predicted model, not a curated record